This 100-nucleotide signal recognition particle RNA is filed under the name Paracoccaceae bacterium. RNAcentral describes it as "Rhodobacteraceae bacterium (activated sludge metagenome) signal recognition particle sRNA small type". It matches the Rfam family "Bacterial small signal recognition particle RNA". From Rfam's summary of the family: The signal recognition particle (SRP) is a universally conserved ribonucleoprotein involved in the co-translational targeting of proteins to membranes. Archaeal SRP consists of a 7S RNA and homologues of the eukaryotic SRP19 and SRP54 proteins. In most bacteria, the SRP consists of a 4.5S RNA and the Ffh protein (a homologue of the eukaryotic SRP54 protein). Lineage: Bacteria; Pseudomonadati; Pseudomonadota; Alphaproteobacteria; Rhodobacterales; Paracoccaceae. The record is from RNAcentral.
CGAGAGGUUGGCGCGGGCAGGCGUCGCGCCAACCCGGUCAGGUCCGGAAGGAAGCAGCCGUAACGAGUUUCGGUUCGGGUCGCCGUCCAGUCUCUCACCU